AAAGAUGUAUAAAAUGAACAAAAGAAAUAAGCACGAACCUAAACAGAACAUUUUCUUUGCUUUGGCUCUGGCUCUGGCCAUCUUUGAUCUGGGUGAGAGAAACGCGUAUCGAUUUGGUUCAUGAUCAUGGCUCAUACUCUUCCCACCACUUACCAAUUAGAUUUGGAGAUGUUGUGUUGAGGUUUCAUCGAUACGGGUCGCUCUCACCUAGACUAAAGUUGCCCAAAUUUUUAUAACAUUGUUCAUCAAAAGCUGCUAAGUUUCUCAUAAGUUCCUGCCUCUUCAGUCUCACCUUUCUUAAUUCGUCUGUGACAGCGUGUAAAGUUGGGAGGCAGAUUCCAAUAUGAUGAUAUACAAAGUAUUUGAUGAAACACCAGUAUGAAGCAAAUGUGUUAGCCCCUUUCAGCAGUUUCUUCUUACUAUGUUUUCGGAUAUUGAGAUCUACAAACAAUAAUGCUGAGGAUAUGAAAGUGAGACAAAAAAAAAAUGGAACAUUCAAGCAAGGAACUAGGGAUGAUUGUGGCACAAGAUAUGACACAAUACUAACAGAACAAACUGGGAAGAGUCAAGAGGACUUGUGUCUACGCAUCUUACUGAAGUCCAUAUUGUAUAUUGUUAUGAACACAAAGCGAAAUAUUCUUUCUUUUAAAAAGAAUAUCACUUGUCCUUUACAUAAAACGACAUGAGCCUAUUUUUAAGAGAAUUUUUCAUUAUUCA
Cajanus cajan (pigeon pea) is the source of this 717-nucleotide long non-coding RNA. RefSeq lists it as uncharacterized. The record is from RefSeq and is a predicted model, not a curated record. NCBI's taxonomy places the organism in Eukaryota, Viridiplantae, Streptophyta, Magnoliopsida, Fabales, Fabaceae.